RNAcentral lists this long non-coding RNA (20633 nucleotides) under Populus trichocarpa (black cottonwood). Its description in RNAcentral is "long non-coding RNA (PTRI_LNC004278)". The record is from RNAcentral. Lineage: Eukaryota; Viridiplantae; Streptophyta; Magnoliopsida; Malpighiales; Salicaceae.
CAGACUCCAUGAAUCCCACCACAUUAUUAUGCAUAAACCAAACUGCACUGGAUAUAUCCACAGGAGCCACAGGACUCUCAACAUUAGCCGCAGGAACCGCCUUUGCAGGUUUUUCUGGUGCAGGUGCCACUGGUGCUGGAGCUGGAGCAUGAGAAGCAAAAAUGUCCUUAGGGAGAAGAACCUUUUCAAUCUUAUAAAUGGCAAGCUGGUUGUCUGUGUAUACGGUGCCAGAUAAACUUGUAUUGGUAAGUCCUGUGGUUAUGUUCACUGAGUUUGGAUAACUUGUCACAUUAAGUGGUAACCUACUGCCUGUUCUAGCCCAUGUACCUAGAGGGUUACUUACAGUCUGCAACUGGGAAGUAGAGAGGAAUGUUGGAAUUACGUGGAACUUCACUAACUCAGACUUGUCUCCAUCACUUAGAGUGUUGAGAGUUCCUGAUUUGAGUUCCGAAAAUGCGCUAUCCGUUGGUGCAAAGAUGGUUAAACCAGUGCUUGAAUCAUUUAGCGCGGAGAACAAGUGGUUUCCUCUUGGGUGGAUCUCAAAAGGCGGAUAAAGAUCGUGAAGUGGCCAGCCUUCUCAAGGAUUUUGGUUACGUUGGUGAUGCCAUGCGGUGCAGCUGCCUGUGCUGGGGUUGCUGCUGGAGGUUGUGUCACAACCACUGCUGGUGCGUGCGCUGGGGCUGCAGCUGGUGACUGGGCAAAGGUAUAGGUGCAUUGGAGGAAAAGAAGGAAAAUAAAAAAAUGAGAUUGACUGUUGCUUCAUGUUUAUGUUUUUGGGCUAUAUGCUAGAAAUGAUACAAAAAUGUUAAUGUAAAUUGAGCUUGAUCUUAGUUAGAAAAGUGUUUGAUGUGUAAAGAAGGGACAGAGUCAGGUUUUAUAGUUGUUGGCAGAGGAUCAAGCUAGGUGCAAUGUACAAUUUUAGUUAUACAAUUAGGUAGCUAGUAUCUCAUCUUUUUCCGAAAGGUGGAGGGUAUCAAUGGAGAGGCAAGUUCAACAAUGCUGCAACAACUAAUUUUCUUGGAAAUGCAGGGAAAAAAAAUAGAUUAUAAAAAGUGGAUUUCAAGUGGGUGUGCCAGCAAAUGAAGAUAUCUAUGAUUGUCAAAAUUAUAAUUCUGAAUCAUCUCUGGCAGAACAUUUGAGCAUAGACUUCUGAACAUCAAAACAAAUCAUCUGUAAUGGCAGAGGAGUUUGACAUGAAAUCUCAACUGAUUCAUCUUUAAUAGCUUUGAUCUAGCUCCUUGAGCUUAAAAGAGUCGCAUCCUUGAAUCCAUGACAGAUUUCGAUAGACUACUUUCCAAAUUCACACGUCCAGAAAUCAAAUCUCACCCAUACCACCACUUGACAUGACAUGAUCAAGAUACACUUACCUUAUUAUGUACUUUAUUUGAUGUUUGUGGCAAGCCUUCUUUCAAGGUUUAUGCAAUCUUCGAGUAAGCUGACUUUUUAGGGAAACAAAGAGAGUCCUAAGAUAUCGACGCAGACAUAAACAACAAAAGAAAGACAGCAACUGCAUAGGAUCAACACGCAAAUUUCAAAUUUUGUUACCUUUCUAAACUAGAAAACCUGAAAAUAAAAAAAAAUGCAAUAAAAAUAUUUAAAAAACUAGAAAAUUUAAAAAUAAAAAGGAAAAAUUACAAAUCUAACCUGAAUAGCACCUUUUGGGUCUAGAUGUCUUCCAGACCUGCUGACCAUUACAUAUAUAGGCCUAUAUAGCAAAAUUUGAGCAUGAUUCAGUUGUGAAAUUGAAAGCUGUAAUUAUGGGUCUUUUUGUCAAGUCAAUCACUCUGCCCAUCCCAAAUAUUGUUUUGGGCUUUGUUCUUUACCAUCAGUCCAUAGACAUUCCUUCAAGACUAUCCAUGCGGCCCAGUGAGGGGAAUGACUGAUUUUGGAGUGUUGUUUGAAGCUACUGGCUAUAGAAAAUUGACUACUCUGAUAGUGAUUGGGCUGGUUCAGUCGAUGAUAUGAAGAGCACAACAGGUUGUGUUCGAUAUCGGUUCAGGUGCACUUUCUUCGGUGACCAAGAAGCAAGAACCGUGGCACAAUCCACUGGAGAAGCAGAGUGCAUAACUUCAGCAGCAACUAUGAAUCCAGCCAUACGGUUAAGGAAACUUGUCCAAGAUAUGGGGCAGCAACAGCAUGUAGCAACUAGAAUUCAAGUUGACAACAAGUCGGCCAUUGCAAUUGCAAUAGCAAAAUAUUCAGUUAGUCAAGGAAAAACCAAGCAUAUCAAAAUGAAGUUUCAGAGCUCAUGAUGUAGAGAAAGCUAAUGCGGUGACCUUUAGCUGUUGUUACGCAGAAAAGCAACUUGCAGAUAUAUUGCAGCGAGAGCUUCCACAAAUAUACAUCCUUACCUUCACUGCAAGCAUCUGCAUGUAAUAACAAACUUUUAUGAAAAGUUGUCAUUAAGAAGAAUAGAAGAAGCCUAUCCAGAAAAUACAUGAAGCAAGUUGAAACUAGAAUUAUUAUCCAUCACUUGCACACGGAACCAUCUGCAUAUACCAAUACAAGAGCUUACCUGUUAUAUUUGUUUCAUGAGUCCUGACAGGUAAUAUAGCAAGGAAAUUCUUUUUGCACCAGAAGUUUGCCAGCCCAAAGUAGGAGAUAAUAUAGCAGUCUAGUAAAGGUUGUUCUGUAUCAGAAGCCUUGUUUUUUGACAAUUAGCAUUUUCUUCUCUUUUGAAUAAUUGAAUUGUCAAUUGUCUUCUAACCUUAUAGCUUAAAGAAAACUACAUUUCGGUUCGAAACAUACUUUUGUGAAUUCCAAAAUCACAAUGAAACAUACUUGUAUAAAUUAAUGUGUAGCUCUAACUUAUCACUAGCUUCAAAACGUCAAUACUACAAGAUGAAGGAAAAACACAGAUGGGUUGCAUUAAUCCUGCUGUGCAGCACACAAAGGCGCUGCGAAUGAGCAAGUGACCUCACACGCCAGUCCCCAAUGCUCUUUUAUGUCCAAGAAUGGAAUGUUUGCUUAAAUCAAACCGGAUAAGUCCUUGAAGCAGUGUUGACAGUAAAGUAACUAAGCUUUAGCUCCUUUAGCUUUAAAGAACCAAACUCUUUACUUUCUUAUUCAUUCCCUACAAAUUUCAACAGAUAAGCUUUCCAAAUACGUACCCAGAAAUCAUCUACAAAGUCAUCCUAUUGAAGAAAAAAGCAAAGGAAACAAUGACCUCAGAGACUGGAGCCUCAUGGAGGAAUGGUCUUAUUUAAACAAAAGCUAGGGAAUAAGUAGAUGGCACCAAGGUGAUAGGAAAUGAAAUGAAAUGAAAAAACAAGAUUGACUAUAUAUAUAUAUGUAUGUACGUACGUAUGUAUUCCAAUUUGACCAAGAAAUUAAUCAACAGCUCAGAAUUCAACCUUAAUCACAAACCCAAAUCAUACAAACUGGAUUCAAGGUAAAAUCAGAAUUAUUCAACACACAAUCGGCCGGCGCAGCAAAAUAAAGCACCAAACCGGACACAACCCUACAUAUAUCAUAUCAAGAUUCGAAAUACUUCUACAUUACAGAGAAAACAUUGCAGAAGCAAGUAACCCAACUGAUCCCACCACAAGAUUAUGAGUAAAGAUAAGUGCACUAGAUAUAUCCACAGAAGCUGCAGGACUCUCUACAGUAACUGCAGGAACUGCCUUUGUUGGCUUUUCUGGUGCAGAUGCCACUGGUGCUGGAGCUGGAGCAUUAGAAGCAAAAAUGUCCUUAGGGAGGAGCACCUUUUCAAUUUUAUAAAUGGCUAGCUGGUUGUCUGUGUAUACGGUGCCAGAUAAACUUGUAUUGGUAAGUCAUGUGGUUACGUUCACGGAGUUUGUAUAACUUCUGACGUUAAGUGGUAACCUACUACCUGUUCCGGCCCAUGUUCCGAGAGGAUUGCUUACGGUCUGGAACUGGGAAGUAGAUAGGAAUUUGGAACUACGUGAAACUUCACUAACUCGGACUUGUCUCCAUCACUUAGCGUGUUGAGAGUUCCUGAUUUAAGUUCCGAAAAUGCGCUAUCCGUUGGUGCAAAGAUGGUUAAACCAGUGCUUGAGUCAUUUAGCGCGGAGAAUAAGCGGUUUUCGUCUUGGGUGGAUCUCAAAAGGCGGAUAAAGAUCGUGAAGUGUCCAGCCUUCUCAAGGAUUUUGGUGACGUUGGUGAUGCCAUGUGGUGCAGCUGCCUGUGUUGGGGUUGCAGCUGGAGGUGAUGCAACCACUGCUGGUGCCUGAGCCGGGGCUGCAGCUGGUGACUGGGCAAAGGUAUUGGGACAAUGGAGGAAAAGAAGAAAAAUUGAAAAUGAAGAGAGUAAGUACUGUGGCUUCAUCUUUAUGUUGUUAAGAUAUAAUGCUAGAAACAAUGCAAAAAUGCUAAUGUAAACUGAGCUUGAUUUUUGUUAGAAGUGCUCGAUGUGCAUAGAGGGGACAGUUUGAGGUUAUAUAGUUGUGAGCAGAGGAUCAAGUUAGGUGCAAUAUUAUACAAUUUUAGUUACACAACUAGGUUGCAAGUACCUUAUCUUACUCCAAAAGGUGGAGGGUCAUCAAUGGAGAUGGAAAUUUGACAAUGCUGCAGCAGCUACUUUGCAUGGAAAGUAGGAGGAAAACGAAACAAGAAUCUCAGAAGUAGAUUUCAAGUGGCAGAACAUUUGAGCAUACUUCUUAACAUUAUAACAAAAUCAUGUCUCAACUGCCUUCAUCAUGUAUAUAUACAAGCUUUUAUUCUUCUACCGACUCUAACCACUUAACUCUACUGCUUUUCUAACUAAUUAACUAUUAACAGUAAAGACCAAUCGUUAUUCUUUCAGUGCUGUUAUUGCUUCUUGUUGUUCUUCUUCCAGCCUUCAUCAUGUCUCCUAGUUCGUAACAUUGAGUAACAUAUAACUUUUUUUUUCAGUUUUAUUUAAAAUAUUUUUUAUACUCUUAAUAUAUUUUUUAUAUUUUAAAAAAAUAAUAUUGAACCGCUGGCCAAUAUAAUAGUUGGUUAGCAAAUCACGAGGCAUCUCGCGGCAAGAAGAUGUCACGAGCAUUGGAUUUUGUUUUCAAGCCACUAAAACCCUUCAUUGUGGAUCCGUUUUCUUGCAAUAAGAAUUAUGGACUAGUGUUUAUGGGCUUUUAAGGCCUAAUAGGCCGGCUGGGUUAGUGCUUAUGGGUCUCAAUGCAUUCUGGUCCGGGCUUAAAUCAUCCUUGGGUAAAUGUUAAUAAAUUGGGCUAUGAUUCUUUAUAACGUGGGCUAAUUUGUUUUGGGUUGUACUCUUGGGUUAAAUGGGUUUUGAUUAAGUGUAAACAUGUAAAACAAAUGAUGAAAAAAACAAUAUAAAAAAUAACAUCAAAUUUAUGUGAGUAUAUAUUGUGCAUUAUGGCCAAGUCUUUCAAAAUAAAAUAUUUUUUUUCAUGUUUCAUAACUGUAAAUAAAAUAUUGUGUUAUUUUUUUUAAAUAAAAGGCAUUUGUUUACAUAAAAAAAGAAGAGGAAAAAAAUAUAUAUAUUUUAGCAUUCUAAAAAAAAUACGUGUUUUAGCACAAAAAAAGGGAGUUUUUAUUUUGCAUUGGCAUCUAAAUAAAAUGUUCUUGUGUUAUUUUUUAUUUAUUUUAUUAAAAAAAUAUAUAUUACAUGUUUGGAUUUCAUAACAAGUUUAUUAAGUCUAUUAAGAAUUGAUCAAAAUCAAAAGAUACAUUGGAUCUACAUAUCCAAUAAACUAAAUAAAAAACAACUCUGGUUUUCUAAAAAAAUAAUAAUAUGUUAUUUACCUUUAAUGCAAAAGGAAACCUAGAAAUAAAAUUUGAGAACCCUAGGCGUUAACUUGGAAACUAAAAAUUCUAACUUUAAUUUAGAUUUUUCCGAUAAGUCUCUUUAUUUAGGAUAAAUAGUUUUUUCUUCUUCUUCUUCUUUUUUUUUUUUUUUUGUGAACGACAAACCUCCUUCUUUAAAGGAUUGAUAAGAGAUUUUUACAAAUGAUCAAAUUGAUGCAUCUUUUAUUUUUGAGGACCAACAUCAAAUUUUCCUCAAAUAAUUAGAAAUAAAUUGGAAAUAAACUAAAAAAAAAUAGAACAAUCAAAAAGAUAAAAUUAAAAGAAAACACAAAGUAAAGAUAACCUUUCAUAGAAAAAAAAAAUCAAUGUGACAUCAUUCUUUCUUUAAAUAUAAAUAAUUUUUUAAUUGAAUUUUUAGAACUAAUAGAUCUCGUAACCAUGUAAAAAUCCAUGGUUGAUCAUAAAAUCGAUGUAGAUUAGUAAAAAGAAUUAGUUUAUGGCACAUUAUUUUGUUGUUUUUCUGUUUUUUAAUUUGUUUUUUUACUUGAAAAAAUAUUAAAAUAAGUUUUUUUUUACAUCAAUAUAUCAAAACAAUUUAAAAAUAUUAAAAAAAUAUUAAUUUAAUGUAGAAAAAGAAAAAAAACUCAUUUUUUAAAAAAUAUUUUUAAAACGGAAAAAAUAUAUAGUUUUUGGUAUCUUUGUAACCCUUUGUUUAAAAAUAAUAAUAAUAAAAAAAGAGGGGUUCCAGCCAAGCUAAAUUUGCAUCCCUUCUGUCUAAUCUUUGUUUUAAAGACUAGACACGCGAGUAGGAAAACACGCGAGUAGGAAACUCGGUUUAUGUGACUUGAAAACAUUAAAAGCAUAAUAUAAAUUGAAAAUUUUGAAUUGAGAUAGUUCACAAAUAUAAUUUCACAAUAUAGUAGUGAUAUUGUACAAGUCUCAAUAAUUUCAAAAAAUUUUAAUUUGAAAUAAUAUAUUAGAUACUAAUAUAAAAUUAUCUAUUCAGCUUCACCAAUUAUUGCUCCUUUAAUUUCACUAUAUCAUGAGUUAAUCUAAAAACUUUAAAGGCUUCAUUAAAAUCAUAUUGUUUUUGCACAGGACGUGUCUAGUACGUACUGCUGAUAUGUCUAUUCAACAUUAUUAAGAUUGAAAUAUUGUGAUCUCUGUUGAAAGCUAAAUGGUUCAAUGGAGCUUAACUUGCUAUUCGUUUUCGUUCUCCACGUGAAGAACAAAUCUAAACUUGUUCUCGUGUAUGGUACGUUUGAAUUGUCUAUGGCAGCAAGCUCCUCCAAUAUUAUUAUUCAUCCAAAUUAAUAUUUGAGGUCUUCCUUUAUGCGUGUGUGGUAGGAGUGAAUUGUCGAGUGCAUUUAAUUCCUUUUAUGUCUUCUUGCACUGAAUUGUCAAGUGCAGCUUAUCUUAAUUUGUCCUCCAUCACGCACUCUAACAUCGAAGCUGGGCUCCAGCCUUUUUGGCUGUGAAAAAUCAGUAACAUAUAUAUUUUACUUCUUUUACAUUACAUUUGAUUUCAGAUCCCAAGAAUGUGAAAUUAUAAUAUUUCACAUCAAAAAUGAAUGUUCAGAGCCAAAACUUUAUGGGUAUAUCAGUCGCUGACCUGUUGUAUGUUUUUUUAGAGCGUUAGGCUCUGAAGUGGGCUCGCGUAACUAGGAACAAAAUCAUGAGGGUAGUAAGGCCCAAAACGAACAAUAUACUGCAGGUUGGGUCGGACUAUUACAAUUAUCAACCUUUAAUUAGCCACUAUAAAUCAAGAAUUAAAUCUAGAAAAAUCAAGGGUUUUUUAGAUUAAUUUUUCAUUCAACAAUAAUUUGUUUAAUUAAUAUAAAUUUCCAUUAGAUUCUUUGAUAUUAUAUCAUAAACGUGAUGACUAAACAAUUACGAGUUUGAAUUUUAUUUAUUUUUAAUUAAUAAAAAUAAAUAUAAAAUAGUAUGAGUUUGUGUAAAUUUUACCUAAAACAUUUUUAUUUAAAGAAAUAUAUUAAAAAAUAAUAUAAAUUUUUUUUUGAAAAGAGAUUAAAAAAAAUUCCAAAUCAUGAAUAAUUUAUUCUGCCUUUCCAAAUCAUAUGAUACGACAAUAUUGUGGGCUCUCCCUGCUAGUGUGCUGGCCCUGUAGAUACUGACAAUGUUGACUUUCUGUUGUACACUUAUUAUGUAUUCCGUGGAAUUCUUGAACAAGAAUACGAUGAGAAAUCAUACUAUUACAGCUUUUCUACGAGGUUGACGAGAAAGUUACCAAAUUUUCCACUGAAUAGAUAAUGGAGGGCCCACGUUGUCAAAUUCAAGCAAUUGAGAAGACUAUCGAUCACCCUUAACGACAAGGGAAGAUAAUGGAGGGCCAAAGUUGGAUAAUAAUAUAAAAUUAUCUAUUGAGUUUCUCCUGACCAUUUAAAAUUUUAAUUAUAUACCAAAUUUUAGCUGCAACUAUUUAAAGAUUAAAAUCAUUAUUUUCAUUUUAUGCUUAUUCACCUCUAAAUAGGAAGAAAAUUUUGUUUUAUACUUUUAUUUUAUUUUUAUUUUUAUCACUUUUUUAAUACAAAAGGAUAUUUGAACUCAAGACUUUCUUUUGUAAGAAAAGAAAUUGAGAACCUAAUGGCAAUUGAACUCAAUACCAGAAAAGUGAUAAAUACAAAUAAAAAUACCGAUAAAAUUUUUCCAUCAAUAUAUUGCGAUGUCUUUACCAACAAAAUUUUACAUCUCUAUAACUAUCGGUAAACAACGACAAAAAUAUUUCCUCAGUAUAUACUGAAAAAAUUGCAAUGGAAAAAUAAGAAAUGAAGAAAAAAACAAAACAGUAAAAUGACAUGUAACUUUUACAAAUGACAUUACCGACAGAAUUAACUCGAUGGUAAAGCAUGUCCAUAAAUAUGCUGAAGAAAAAACUUCCUCGAUAUAUGCCAAGGGAAUUAUGGAGGGUAUUACAGUGGGAUUCAAAAAAGACAAAUCAUAUGGUGACAUGAUAUUUGUACCGAUAAAAUUAUUCUAUUGGUCAUUUCAUCAAUAAUAUUUAAUUUAUGACUUGACAAUCGACCCAUCCCCCUUCCAUGUAUCCUUCUUUGUUAUCCAUUUUUUUCGGCAUCAAACAGCCACCCCCUCCCCCCAAUAUCAACACAAUUCAAUCUCCCACAAUAAAUUCGACCACCACAACACUCAGUUUGUCAAUAUUCGUGUUCUAAUUCAAUUUUUUUAGGAUUCUCCACUUUAGUUAAGUAAAUCUAUCCUUUUUUUACUUGUUUUCUAGUUUUUUUUCUCAUACAAAUUUGUUGUAUGGAUUUAGGAUUUGUACAUGUUAGGAUUUGUUUUAGAUUUUAUAAAAUUAUAUUUGUUUGUAAAUUGAUGAAACUUAUGUCGAAUUGUUUUCUUAGGUGUUUUAUGAUGAAAUAAAUAAUAACUUAUUUAACGAGUUUAUUUUAUAUUUUGUCAAUUUUAAUGCUGAGUUGAAAUUUUCGUUAAAUGUGUAGAAAUUUGAAGCUAUAUAGAUAACUUAUAAUGAAUUAAGAGUACUAUUAAAAUAGAUUGAAAGUUUGAGCUAAACUAAUAUUUUUAUAAAUUUAUUUAGUUAACGUAAUUAAUUAAUUAAUACAUCUUGUCAUUAUUAUUUUAUAUAGGUUUGAUAUAAGUACCAGAUGAUCAUUCAUGGAUGUAUCGAGAUUCACCCCAAGGAUUGCGGAGGAUGGGUUAUUGUAAUAAGGUUCAAGGUUUUAUUAAUUAUGCACUAUCUAAUCCGAGAAAUAUUAGUGGAGGCGGUAUUAGAUGUCUAUGCAAGUGGUGUAAAAAAAAAAGUUUCUCGAUUCAACUAUUGUAAUGAUGCAUCUUCUACAAAAAUAGCUCAUGGAGAAAUACUUGUGUUGGUAUACAUAUAAAGAACUAUAUGUUCAUCAUGAUACCAUGGUAUAAAGGAUGGUUGGGUCAACUUCUAAUUCUAGCAAUAUGCAUGGAUUUGUAGAUGACAACAGUAAUCAUAAUAGGAAUAUGGUUAUAGAUAUGAUGAGAAUAAAUCAGGGUCAUGUUGGUCAAUAUCUAAUUCUAGAUGAAGAACCAUUGUAGAGUUAUAGUUAAGGAUGUGAUGAGAAUGUUAUACUACCUUGAAAAUACAGAGUUGACUGACUGCAGAACAUGUGGGCAUUCUUGUUAUAAACCCAGAACUGGUAGGGGAAGGAAUCUUGUCCCACAUAAAAAAUUUAGAUACUUUCCAAUCACAUCUAGACUACAGAGGUUAUUCAUGUCAUCAAAAACUGUUAAACAUAUGACAUGACACCAUUCAUAUGAUACGAUGGAUAAAGUGAUUGUGCACUCUUUCAAUGGUGAAGCCUGGAAACACUUUAACAAUAUGCAUCCUCAGUUGUUAGUGGAAUCAAGGAACAUGCAUCUUGGGUUAUGUAUAUUAGAUUCAAUCCAUUCAGGUUAUUUGCUGCUACCUAUUCUUGUUAGUCGGUUAUACUCACGAUUUACAACUUGUUAUUGGGGAUGUAUAUGAGGUUAUAGUUCAUGUUUUUAUUUAUGGUCAUACCUGGUCCUAAUAGUCUAGGUUGGAAUAUAGAUGUUUGAUUUUUACCGUUGAUUGAUGAGUUGAAACAGUUGUGGUCAUCCAGGGCUUGGACUUGUGAUGAAUCGAGGAAAUAGAAUUUUAUGAUGAAUGUAGCUUUUUAGUAGACUAUCAAUAAUUUUCUAGCUUAUGGAAUGGUUUAUGAUUGGAGCACGCAUGAAAAACUAGCAUGUCAAUAUUGUAUGAAAAAUAACAAGGCAUUCACGCUGACAAACGACGGUAAAACAUCUUUUUUUGACUGCCACCGACAGUUCUUACCAACAAAUCAUNNNNNNNNNNNNNNNNNNNNNNNNNNNNNNNNNNNNNNNNNNNNNNNNNNNNNNNNNNNNNNNNNNNNNNNNNNNNNNNNNNNNNNNNNNNNNNNNNNNNUGAAGAAUUAUAUGACGUGGUGUCAAAGUAUAGUGAUAUUGUGUUUGUUUUCAAUCUAAUAAGCAGAAGUUUUCUGGAUUUGGUUUGACUCAUAAUUGGGUAAAACGAAAUAUUUUUUAAGAGCUUCCUUAUUGGAAGAUCAAUCUCUUCCGUCAUAACCUUGAUGUCAUGCACAUAGAAAAUAACAUGUUUGAGAACAUUUUCAACAUGGUUAUUGAUAUAAAGGGGAAGAUAAAAGACAACAUCAAGGCUAGAAUGGAUAUAACUUUGUUUUAUGAAAGAAUGAAGUUAGUUUAUGUUGGGUCACAAGUCGCAAAGCAUAAAGCCAUCUUCGCUUUAGAUAAGAAUGCAUAGUUACUUGUCUACCAAUGGCUUAAAAGUCUAUGUUUUCCUGAUGGAUAUACUUUGAACAUAUCAAGGUUAGUGAAUUUGAAGGAUUACAAAUUGUAUGGAAUGAACAACCAUGACUACCAUGUGUUUAUGCAAACACUCAUUCCAUUAGCUUACCGAGAUUUAUUGCCAAAUAGAAUAUGGGAUGCACUCACGGAGAUCAAUUAUUUUUUUAGAGAUAUAUGCUCCAACAAGUUGCAAAUAUAACAUAUGGAAAGGCUUGAAACAAAUAUUGUUCAGACAAUAUACAAACUUAAGAUGAUAUUUCCUUUAUUGUUUUUCGACUCGAUAGAGCAUCUACCCAUACAUUUACCAUUUGAGGCAAAAGUUGGAGGCCAAGUCCAAUAUAGAUGGAUGUCUUCAUUCGAGAGGUUAGGGAUUAUACAUGCAUCAUAAUUAAAAUUUUAUUCUCUUUUCUUGCAUAAUUCAAAAAUUCAUUUAAUUCAAUAUAGGUGCUUGUUCCACCUUAAAAGAAGAGUUCAAAACAAGGCACAUGUUGAGGCUUCAUAUGCAAGGCCUAUAUUGUUGAAGAGAUCUCAAUAUUUUUCUUGUACUAUUUCGAGCCUCAAUUGAGAACAAGAAUCAACCGCGUUUCAAGGCAUAACGAUGGUGAGGAAAUGACUUCGAGUGAGAACUUGUCAAUAAUCUCUCAUCUUGGACGACCCGUUCCAAAAAAUGUUGUGAAGGAAGAUAUUUGUCAGAAAUUAAAUUCAUACAAACACAUAAUUAUGUGAUAUUUAACUGCGAUGAAUUGAAACUUUUUAUUCAGUAAGUAUACUACUUAACAUGUCAUUAUUUUCAAACAAUUUAUCUCUUAUAAUAUCAUAAACUGAUACAUUGUUGAAUUCUUUGUGGGCAACAUCGUCAAUUUUUACUAUUCCAUCAUAAUUAACUGAAUCCUAAAUCUUUCAAUUACUCAUUAACUAUUCAUAGUUGUACUUCAUGUACCAAGUUUAUCAAUUGGGAGAGAAUGCUAGUAUUAUUUUGUCUUUACUAAGUUCGGGUCCUGAAAGAAAGGUGAAGUGUUACAACGGGCAUUUCAUCAUUAGACAAGUAUUUUAUACUGAGGAAUAUGGGCAGAUUAGAAAGACAUAUAACAAUGAGUUUGAAAUUGACUACUAUAAAAAGUUAGAAGAGGCCAUUGAAUUGCAAUAUUAUAACAAGCAAAAUAAAAUAUUUUUAUUCAAGUGUUAUUAGUAUGACACCACUAACAGAGGAGUCAUAGUAGAUGCUCAUCAUGGUUUGGUUGAAAUUAAUUGAAAUGCUAGACUCCGCAAUGUUAACGAUGUUUUUGUUUUCGCCAAGCAAUGUCAACAAGUUUAUACACAUAUAUCCCUUUCCUUUAGAAAGAAUCGUUCAAGAGCUGAUUGGUUAUCUAUAGUGAAAAUCAAACCCAAUGGUCAUUUCGAGGUUGUUUAGGAUGACAGCGAUGAAUUAAUUGUGGGAGAUUAUGUCUUUCAACUUAGUGAGUUAGUUGAUUCAUAUUGAGUUGCUCCAUCUAAUGACUUGGAAGAAAACUCAAAUUUUCGCAUCACCGAUAAUAUUUUUGUUGAUGUUGACGUUGAUCUUGAGAAAUUCAAUGAUGUUUUGAGCUCCAGAUGACAUACACAAGUCAAUGAAGAUGAUGACGAUGAAAUCAAUGUAGAAGAUUGCGAUGGAGAUGAGGACAAGUCAAUUGACGAAGAAGAAGACAAUUUCGAUUAAUUUGCACAACACGAAUGUGUAGUGCCAUAAACUAUAAUGUAAUUUUCAUGGAUGAAAUUCACUUUAAUAUAAUGACAAUGAUGUUAAUUUAUUACUAAAUGACAAGGAAAUAUUUAUUUUAUUAUGGUGAUGUGAAAUGAUUUUAUUGUGUUGUGUGUGCAGUUGUGAAUUUAAGUACUUGCAGGAUGAAGAGAUAGGAAAUACAAAUACAAUUUGGCAUCAUAUAAUGUUUUACAUCGAUGGAAUGUACAUUACACACGGGUAUACCGAUGGAAUGUUUUUGUCAAAAAUUUUCCGAGAGCUAUGAGACUGUUCACUUCUCAAUGCAUUGAUAAUUAUUGUUCAUUACGCAUGGGUAUACCAACACAACGUGUAUACCGACAUAGUAUGUCUGUCGGUAUUUUCCCGAGAGCUAUGAGACUGUUCACUUCUCAAUGCUCUGAUAAUUAUUGUUCUUUUAAUUGUUCACUUUUGUUUCCCGAUGAAAUCACCGAUGAAAUGAAAAGUUGUCGAUAAUAUUUGGAGAGUUUUCUAAAGAUUUUCCUACAAGUUGAAAAUUUUCAUUUGACCAUACUAACAGAAUCACCGAUGAAAAUAUUAAAAAUAUUAAUAUAUAAUGUUACGUUUGUGAUUCCAAUGGUAAAAAGCAUCCAGAUACCAAGACCAUUAAAUUUCAAUUUAACUUUACAAACGACAUCACCGAUGAAAAUAUUAAAAAUAUUAAUAUUUAAUGUUUUGUCGGUAAUUCGUUGGUAACACUAAAUUAUAAGACAAGAAUCAGAACAAACAAAGCUUGAUCUUCUUCUCUCUUCUCUUCUCUCUCUCCUUCUGAGCCGAAAUCAAGCAUCAUCUUCUCUUCUUAUCCUUAGGUAUGUUGUCUUUUUUCAUUUUUCAUUUUUUUUUUGGGUUUAUUAACAAUCUCUUUUUUUGUUUUUAUUUUUUAAAAUUAUCAGUCGAAAUUAAGCACGUCAUUAAGGUAAUAUUUUUUCAUUCAUUUUCUUCUUUUUGUGUUUUUUUUUUUUUUUGCAUUAUUUUUGUUUUUUGUUAUUAUUUAUGUUAAAUUUUGUGUUCUUAAUAAUUUUAUGAAUUAAUAGUUAUGUUGAAUUUUGCAGAGUAAAAAUAUUUAAGAAAAAAAUGAUUAUUUUUACUUUAAAUUAUUUUUUACUUUAAAUUUCAACAGAGCAUCAUGCGUUUCCAAAACACACGAACAAAGGAAGGUUCAAUCCUGCUCAUCAUGUAAAUGGUUUUUUGUUAAAUGAACCAGAUGUCACAAAACGAUAUUAUUGAAGCUUCAAUCAUGGUUGAAUGGUAGCCUUCAUCGAUAGUAUUGGGAAUGAGGACAAAUAUAUAUCACAAUUACCUGUGAAUAUUAAUGGGUGGAGCAAUGAGCUGUCUCUAUGUUUUUCAUUUGUUGAUUCUACUUUCCGUCCAGAAAAAGUCACAGACAGGCACAUUGAAGGAGUACAUGGAUCUACAAGAUUCCACAAUGAAAGUUUCACCAACCAAUAGACUGUUAUCGUGUUCUUUGGGUUGGAAAUUCUUUGGGUGGGCCUUGUUGCUAGCUUCUUACGGUUGAUUAUUUUGCCUACGGAAGCUCUUGUUUCUUGAAUUUGAUAGCGAGUGUUUGAUAAGACUUCGGCAAAAUCUAUCAUCAAUUCUCAAAAAGAAAAAAAAAAAAAAAAAAACUUUUCUAUACCUUUUUCACAAUGAAUAUUUUUUUCUUUUAAUUUUAGUUAUUGUUCUUUUAAUUUUUUCAGCGAUAACUUAGAAUUUUAUUCCAUGGUAUUGAUUUUCAAUUUAAAGUCAGAAUAUUCUCAAACCCUUCAUAUAUGUGACAUCAUGCAAAGAAAAAUAAAUUCUAAUGUAUAAAACAGUGCCAACAUAAUUUGAAAGAAAUAAAGUUUGAUGAUGAAAUUCAUAUUACAAAAAUUUAUUGUUCCAGUUGAUAAUUGAAAAGAAGUAGCUAAACACUAGGAGAAGAGAUCUCCCAAACUUAUUGUGCAAAAUGCCUCAGGCAGUGGAGGCCACUUAGCUGUAAGAUCCAAAUAAAUUUUUUCCAUCGUAGGCCGAGAUUGGGGAUUGGGAUGCAAGCAUGCAAGUGCAAUUUUCAUCAUGUGGACAACGCCCUCUGCUGCUCCUUUUUUAGGAAGCGAGAUGCGUUGGUCUAACACAUCCUUCAAUAGUGCAUGUUGAGCAAUCGGUGGCAUCGAUGAUGACGACGAAGAUCCUGGUGAUAAGAGUGCUGAAAUGAGGUCGCCUGGGUGCCUUCCUGUCAUCACCUCCAUUGUUACCACUCCGAAGCUAUAGACAUCACAUUUUUCAGUCACUUUCAUUGUGUAAGCUAGCUCUGCCAAAUUAAAAAAAUUGAUUAUGGUUAGUUUUAAUCAAAUAGUUGAAAGAAAAGACUUUAUAAUAUAUAAAAGCUAAAAAAGCACUAUUAUUUUCACUAUAACACAUUAGUAACUUGAUGUUGAAAUAAAGCUACGCACCUGGAGCAGUAUAUCCAAAAGUACCUGCAAAUGAGGUCCAAUUGGAUGAGUCAGGCAUCAACAGUCUAGCUGUGCCAAAGUCGGAGACGUGUGCUUCAUAUUCCAAGUCCAGAAGGAUAUUAUUGCUGGUAAUGUCUCGAUGAAUGAUUGGAGGACAGCAAGAAUGGUGCAGGUAGGAUAAAGCUCCAACCACCCCUUUCACAAAAUUUAGCCUUUUCAUCCAAUCGAACUCAAUUGCUUGUUCCUCACUGGUUAUAAUCUUUCUCAAGCUUCCUCUUUCAAUGAACUCAUAAACCAAAAAAGAAUGCUUUGCAUGUGAGCAAAAUCCAUACAUUUUCACAAUAUUUCGAUGUCGAAUAUUUGCCAACACGCAAACUUCCUUUUCAAAAGCUUUAAAAUCGGACAACUUUUCUGUUUGUGACCGGUGAAGUUUCUUCACAGCAACCACCUCUUCUGUUGGCAUCACGGCUUUAUAAACAGUUCCAUAUCCUCCUUCGCCAACGCAGUAGUUGGAGUUGAAUUCCUCUGUAGCUUCAACGAUAUUCUCAUACAACUUCUUCCCAUCAUGGCCCAAUAUCGUGAAUAUGUUUCGAUCUUGCUCAUUUUCCGGCUCAGGUUUUCUCUUCCUAGCUCUUUUGCAGAGAAUGAAUAAAGCUCCAAUCACAACAAACACUAAAAGCAAGCUUCCUAAAAGAGGGAGUACAAUCAAAAUCACAAGUUUGUUGCUCUUUCUCUUAACAGUUGUGCUGCUUUUUGGAAGAUUGCACGGCUUUAGACCACUGGCGUUGCCACAUAUACCCAUAUUAUCCCUUAAUGCCUCAAAUGAAGCGUUGUGGAAGGCUUUGAUAUCGGGAAUGGGGCCUUGUAGCUUAUUGGAUGAUAUAUCCACAGUUGUUAAGCUUAACAUGUCUCUGAAAGUGCUCGGAAUCCGUCCAGAAAGCAUGUUGUGAGAGACAUUCAGAGUUUCCAACUUUUGCAGUUGCCCAAGUUGCCUCGGUAUCUCUCGAGUCAGGAAAUUGCAGCUAAGAUCAAGAUCUUGAAGAGAAAGUAGAAAGCCUAUCUCACCUGGAAUGCUUUCACUAAAUUUAUUACCGCUGAGGUUCAGCAACAAUAAAUUUGAGCAUUCCCCAAGUUGUUUUGGAAUCAAUCCAGUCAGAUUAUUAGAUGCUAAAUUAAGGGUUUGAAGAUUGGAAAGCAUCUUAAUAUCUAAGGGAAUGGCACCUGAAAGAUGGUUGUUGUUAAGAAUAAGCUUGUACAAUAACUUCAACCCCCCUAAAUCUUUUGGGAUGGUUCCUUUUAACUGAUUUGAUGACAGAUCAAUCAAGCGUAAUUGAGUAGCCUUCCCAAGCUCUGGUGGUAUCUCACCAGAAACAUUAUUGUUUGAGAUUCUAAGGCUUGUCAUGUUACGACAACCUCCCCAUUUGGAAGAAAGCCCACCAUAAAAAUUAUUGUAACUCAAAUCAAUAUAAUCCAGAUGUGGAUAGACACCAAAAACCUCUGAAACAUUUCCUGUUAAUUGAUUCGAUUCAAGUCUUACUCGGUGUAAACGAGUACAGUUUUUCAAACUUUUCGGGAUUGAACCUGAGAAGUUGUUGUAGCAAGCAGUAAAGUUUUCCAAUACUCCUCCAUGGCAUAACUCUAGUGGCAAAUGACCCGUGAGUUCAUUGAAACCAAUAUCCAAAGCAAUCAAUUGGGUGAGAUUUUUCAUCUCUACGGGCAAUGGGCCGUGAAGUUUGUUUAUACUUAGAUCAAGUGUAGUGAGAGUUGUCAAGUUUCCAAUUGAAUUAGGAAUUCUACCGGUUAAAACAUUAUUAAGCAAGGUAAGUUCACUGAGAGACUCUAGCAACCCAAUUUCUUGAGGAAUGGAACCAGAAAGUUUGUUAUCCCAAAGAUAGAGUAUGUAUAGGUUUCUCAAAUUUCCAAUAGAAGAGGGGAUCAAACCAGUGAGAUUAUUGUAUUCUAGUUGUACUUCAAUGAGCAUGGUCAUGUUUCCAAUAGAAAAAGGGAUGGGACCAGAGAGUUGGUUCUGGAAAAUGUAAAGGGAAGAUAAGUUUCUCAAGUUUCCAAUGGAAUAAGGGACUUUAAAGGGCAAAACAUUGCUUGACAAGGCGAUUUCAUUGAGAGAUUCUAGCAACCCAAUUUCUUGAGGAAUGGAACCAGAGAGUUUAUUAUCCCAAAGAUAAAGGAAGGAUAGGCUUGUCAAGUUUCCAAUAGAGGAUGGGAUCAAACCAGUGAGAUUAUUUUGUUGUACUGAUAUAUCAACAAGCAUGGUCAUGUUUCCAAUAGAAGAAGGGAUGCAACCAGAGAGUUGGUUCUGAAUAAGGUGAAGCAAAGAUAAGUUUCUCAAGUUUCCAAUGGAAUAAGGGAUUUCACCAGUUAUUAUAUUAUAUGACAAAUCAAGUUGAUUGAGAGACUUUAGCAAUCCAAUUUCUUGAGGAAUGGAACCAGAAAGUUUGUUAUCCCAAAGAUAAAGUUUGGAUAGGUUUGUUAAAUUUCCAACAGAGAAGGGGAUGAAACCAGUGAAAUUAUUUUCAGCUAAAGAAAUAGUGAAAAGAGACGUCAUCUUUCCAAUUUCAUGUGGGAUGGUUCCAGAAAGAGAAUUGUUCUGAAGGUCAAGAGCAAAAAGAUUACGGAAGGAUGAGAAGUUGAAAUCAUAAAGCGUACCUCUCAAGCCAAAGUCUGCAAGGCUCAAAUUGGUGACGCUUCCAGAAUUGUCACAAGUGAUUCCAAUCCAGUUAAUGCAUGGGCUAAUGCCGAACCAGGAAGAAAGGAGAGAUUGACUUUGGUUGUCAAGACUGGCUUUCCAUUCGAGAAGAGCCUCAGCUUCUGUAUUAUUACCAAACAGUGAAGUUGUGGAGGGAGUGUGUUCAGCUAAAGUAAAGUAAGAAGAAAAGUUGAAUAUGUGAAGGAGCAAAAACAGGAUGUGGAGAAAGAACGAGAAGAAUGGUUUGUUUAGUAAGGACGUCGUCAUGGUGUGUUUUCAAGAGAUAUCGGAUAUGGUUUGCUAUGGUAGAUUAGGCUCUUCCAUGGAGAGGUAUUUAUAGGAAGGAAAACAUGAUUUGAAUUUUUUUAUAUAAAAAAUAUUCAUUGAAUAUUACAUCUCUUCUCUAAUUAAGUUGAAAUUAACUAGACUAUGAUUGCUCUCGUGCUUGACACGGUUGACUAAUUUCUGAUAAAAUUCCAAUUGAACUUUCUUUCCCCUUUCCAUAUCAUAGUUUGGGACAUUAACUGGAAAGUCCUACGUUCACAUGCUCACUGCCUUGUGUACACUUUUGCUUUUUCUAUAAAUUCUCGUGCUUGACAAGUAGACAGAAAAAUGAAAUAGAUAAACUAUUUCCAACAGGAGAUGAGAUUGACAGAGAACGUUAAUCGCUAUGAAAGUACUGAGGGAUCAUAGAGAAUAUAGCUUCUUUAUGACCAAUUGACUAUGAAACUAAAUAAAGGGCAAUAAAAAGCAAAGAGUUUUAUGAAAUAAACUUUAAUCUCGAAAGUUUUUUUUAAUAAUUUGAUCACCACAAUAAAUUCAAUGGGAGAUAUUGUAAGUGACGUGGAACACACUUGUGGGUGUAUCGCUUUGUAAUUUCCAGUUCAUCAAUAAUUUCUUCUCCCUUGCCAUAUUUUCCACUGAAAAGACAACGGAAAAGCGUAUGUGAGAGACUCACCAAGUUUCCAUAAUGGAGGGCCAACUUUGACGAAGAGAUGAGAAGACUAUGGAUCAGUACCCGUAACAACCACGGGAACAAGUCAAACAAGUAUGGUCCUUCAAUGAGCCUGGUCAAGUUCCUAUCAAUCCCAUUUUUCUGAAGUUCUGUUGGAUCUGAGACAUACUUAGUUUGUUGUUAAGAGUAAUUCAAUCUGAUUUUUUUUUUUUUUGACAGCACUAAAAAGCAUUAAUUUAAUGUUUUUUCAUACCAAAUAUAUUUUUAAAACUCACCUAAACACACAGUUUUGACCACAAAAAUUAACGUACUCAAAAUGACUACCCAGAAUGCUACUAGGCUCCAGAGGGAGAGAAAUAGCAUUGACAAGGUACUAAAAGUCGCUACUAAACAAAAUUUGGGUGCGCCAGAAAAUAGUUAUAAAAGAUAGAGCAUGAUCAUGCCUCUACCCAGAAUGUAAGGUUACCAAGAAAACUGUCACAAAAUGGCUUAAACAGAACAUCUCUUUUCCUAUGAUCAACGCCUAAUAUUUCAGACAAGUGGAUUGAAUAACUUAAGAGCUUUAAAUAGGUUGAGAGUUUUUGGUAAACAAUUCUCAAUGGAUUAUUAUCUGAAAUUAUCUCUGACAUUAUCUCAUCCCUCAACUUCCUACGUUCCCUCUAUUAGAGAAGUCUCCCGAUUCCCUAUCAUGCAUUUUUGUAACAGCUUCAGUUUGUUUAAAUUUUGAAUUUGUAUUUUAAGCUGCACACUUAUCCUCAGGGAUAAGCUUCUAGUCUGUUACAAUCCCUUGUAUUUAUAUCAGUUAAUCUAAUGAGAAGAAGUGUGGCAUAUUUCCUCUUCUCUGUUUCUCUGCUCCUCUCAUUGCUUUUACCCUCAAGACUCUUGCAUUCUCCUUUCUUUGCUUUCUCUCUUUCUUCUAACCUUGCUUGCUUCUUUUCUUCAGCUUUCCUGCAUGUUUUCUCUCCUCUACUAUCAUGAUAUUUUGCCCCGUGCUCACCCCUCUUAGCUGACCUCCCCUUUGCUCUCCAUCAGAAGAACUAUCCUCAGAGGAACUAAUCCUAAAAACAUCCUCCAGAACCAGCUAUGCUCAAGAAACAGAUGCUAACAUCUUGCAAGCAAAAAUUACAACCCUGAACAACUAGAUUUCCCAGAAAUCCAGCCAACAUUUACUAACCAAAAGCUAGGAAAAUGAUUAGCUGAGAGUAAAAAAUUAAAUUUACUAAAUCAAGAUUAAUGGGCAGUGAUUAGUACCUAAUCAAGAAGAUUAAUGAAUAAUUAUCCAUAAUCAAAUGCUUUCACAUACAUAAAUUUGUUCCAAUUUGACCAAGAAAAUAAAUAAAAACUCAAAUUCAAUCUUAAUCACAAUGUCAAAAAUUAAAUAAUAAAAACUGGAUUAAAAAUAAAUUCAUAAUUAUUCAACAGACUCCAUGAAUCCAACCCAACUCAGAAAAACCAUAAAGAGGAGACACAGGACUCUCUACAUUACAAAGCAAACACUGCAGCAGCAACUAUACCAACUGACCCCGCCACAUUAUUAUGCAUAAACCAAACUGCACUGGAUAUAUCCACAGGAGCCACAGGACUCUCAACAUUAGCCGCAGGAACCGCCUUUGCAGGUUUUUCUGGUGCAGGUGCCACUGGUGCUGGAGCUGGAGCAUUAGAAGCAAAAAUGUCCUUAGGGAGGAGAACCUUUUCAAUCUUAUAAAUGGCAAGCUGGUUGUCUGUGUAUACGGUGCCAGAUAAACUUGUAUUGGU